UUCCUACGGGAGGCAGCAGUGGGGAAUUUUGCGCAAUGGGGGAAACCCUGACGCAGCAACGCCGCGUGGAGGAUGAAGUCUCUUGGGACGUAAACUCCUUUCGAUCGGGACGAUAAUGACGGUACCGAUAGAAGAAGCCCCGGCUAACUUCGUGCCAGCAGCCGCGGUAAUACGAGGGGGGCAAGCGUUGUUCGGAAUUAUUGGGCGUAAAGGGCGCGUAGGCGGUUUGGCAAGUCUAGUGUGAAAUCUUCGGGCUCAACUCGAAGUCUGCACUGGAAACUGCCGGGCUUGAGUAUGGGAGAGGUGAGUGGAAUUUCCGGUGUAGCGGUGAAAUGCGUAGAUAUCGGAAGGAACACCUGUGGCGAAAGCGGCUCACUGGACCAUAACUGACGCUGAGGCGCGAAAGCUAGGGGAGCAAACAGGAUUAGAUACCCUUGUAGUC
Molecule: ribosomal RNA, 442 nt
Filed under: uncultured Terriglobus sp.
Lineage: Bacteria; Pseudomonadati; Acidobacteriota; Terriglobia; Terriglobales; Acidobacteriaceae
Description: bacterial SSU rRNA
Rfam family: Bacterial small subunit ribosomal RNA
Source: RNAcentral